CUUCACAAAUCAUAGUCCCUCGAACUCAGAACCUCAGAAACGUCGGCCGGCGAUGCAAUUGGCAUCGACGGCGGCGGACCAUUCAAGAUGCAGAGGUACUCGCUAGAACCCUUUCUGUGAGGGCGAUAUAUACUCUCCCCCCCCCCCCCCCACUUACACUUCGCGCGCUGUCUGCUCUGAAGUUGGACUGUAUCGGCGCAGUUGAACGGCGUUGGAGGCGAGGACUUUCGUCGUCUUUAACUGUUAGAUCGUCGGCUCGCCGGAGUUUCAGUGCUGCGGUGCGUGUAUACGACGCGCGAAACUACGGAAAGGCGCCAAUUUUGAAUAUUCCCGGGUCGGACUUUCGCGGCCCGCAAUCUGUGUGGAGGCACCGGCCCAUCAUAUUUCCUCUAAUUUAAAUUGGGUCCGGGCCCAUCAAUUUUCCCGGGUUAACCCGCAUUUCCGUCACCGCCGUAGCUCAAGCUUGAAAUAUCGAGAGGACAAAUCUCAACGACGAGUGCCCCCGGCGAGCUACGCCCAAGUCAACCGGCGUCGUUAAAUCCGACAGUCAACUGACGAUGACGAAGAAGCCUUACAGUGGGGGCUUCGAAACCAACAUCAUCUUCAACAACAGUUGCGGGCAGGUACGCAUAGAUCCAAGGUAAAAGUACCUACUUUUCCCAGGAUUAGGUGUUGUCUCAAUGGUACUGGAACUUGGUAUGAAUGGGUGGAGUAGUCAUUGAUUAGGCAAUUUGACUCUCCAAGGAAAAAAUUAGUGUUUGAGAUGAUUGUUUUCGUUGUUAUUUGAAUGAAUGUGUAUGGUGCUGGUUUCCUUUCUUGUCAUGCAUUGUCUUCCCCCUUGCCAAUUAUCCCCUCCCGAAACCAAUCAAGUGCUUUGCUUAAUGCAAAGAAAAGCUCAUAAAGUUGUUGUCCCAACCACGAUUAUCAAAUCACCUCUUUAAUCCAUGUUCUUAACGAUCAUUCCCCCCUUUCUCCUGUUCUCUCUGCUUUAACUUGUAACUAGUUGAGCUUUUUCAUAAUUGCUUAUGGUUGAUGUGGAGGAAUUAAAACAGGGGUAGACACUCAUUUGCUGGACUUUGUCCCAUCAUGCUAGCUAAGUGGAUUCUUGAGUCUAAUGGAUUGAAUACUGAUGAAUAACUGAAUCAGACUCAGUUUUCCAAGGGUGGUUGACCCUCAAUAUGGUGAAUCCGGUAGUUUGGUUAUAGUUUGUUUUCUGAUCAUAGCAAAUUUAUAUCAUCACAACAUAGUAGUAGCCGAUCUCCUUGUCUUGGCAAUGCCUCCAGACAUACCCUUUUAUCCAAAGGGAAAACUAAGUUAACAAAUCCCUGUACUGUAUGCUGGUAUUUUUCAUUCUGUGAUUGCGAUUCAUUAUCUACACAUCAAACAUUAUCUCCUUGAAUCAUGCUCAUCUCUGACAUUAGUGUUUAGUCCCUUAACAGAUUGAGCUCAACUAGAAGAGGAGUUAAAUGGAAAAGAAGUGUUCUUGUGGACAAACUGAAAGGGGGGAGAAAUGGGUUCUUUGUACAAAAAGAAUUUGGUUGUCAUCAUGUUCUGCAAUUAUUAAGCCAAGAUUGGGGAAAGUGGGAUGAACUUUGUGGGUUUGUUUUUAUGGUCACAUGGCUUUGUUUAACACUAAAUGCAUGCGUGGAACUAUUCUCUGCCUUAACUUUUAAUCCUGUUAAAAAUCUUGUCAGCUUAAUCACACACAUCAUAGGUUGAAGGAGAAGAUUCGCUCUGAUUUUGCUCUAGGGACAGGUCUGUGUGUGAGGACAUUUCGUUCGAUAGCCGUAUGCUACUAGUAUUUCC
This 1806-nucleotide long non-coding RNA is filed under the name Linum usitatissimum (flax). Its description in RNAcentral is "long non-coding RNA (LUSI_LNC007764)". Lineage: Eukaryota; Viridiplantae; Streptophyta; Magnoliopsida; Malpighiales; Linaceae. The record is from RNAcentral.